CCUACGGGAGGCAGCAGUGGGGAAUAUUGCACAAUGGGGGAAACCCUGAUGCAGCGACGUCGCGUGAGUGAUGAAGUAUUUCGGUAUGUAAAGCUCUAUCAGCAGGGAAGAAAAUGACGGUACCUGACUAAGAAGCCCCGGCUAACUACGUGCCAGCAGCCGCGGUAAUACGUAGGGGGCAAGCGUUAUCCGGAUUUACUGGGUGUAAAGGGAGCGUAGACGGCGGUGCAAGCCAGAUGUGAAAGCCCGGGGCUCAACCACGGGACUGCAUUUGGAACUGUGCUGCUAGAGUGUCGGAGAGGCAGGCGGAAUUCCUAGUGUAGCGGUGAAAUGCGUAGAUAUCAAGAGGAACACCAGUGGCGAAGGCGACCUGCUGGACGAUGACUGACGUUGAGGCGCGAAAGCGUGGGGAGCAAACAGGAUUAGAUACCCCUGUAGUC
Molecule: ribosomal RNA, 440 nt
Filed under: uncultured bacterium
Lineage: Bacteria
Description: partial 16S ribosomal RNA
Rfam family: Bacterial small subunit ribosomal RNA
Source: RNAcentral